RNAcentral lists this ribosomal RNA (468 nucleotides) under uncultured bacterium. Its description in RNAcentral is "partial 16S ribosomal RNA". It matches the Rfam family "Bacterial small subunit ribosomal RNA", at positions 28 to 507 of the family's 1533-position model. The record is from RNAcentral.
GACGAACGCUGGCGGCGUGCUUAACACAUGCAAGUCGAACGGAAAGGCCCUGCUUUUGUGGGGUGCUCGAGUGGCGAACGGGUGAGUAACACGUGAGUAACCUGCCCUUGACUUUGGGAUAACUUCAGGAAACUGGGGCUAAUACCGGAUAGGAGCUCCUGCUGCAUGGUGGGGGUUGGAAAGUUUCGGCGGUUGGGGAUGGACUCGCGGCUUAUCAGCUUGUUGGUGGGGUAGUGGCUUACCAAGGCUUUGACGGGUAGCCGGCCUGAGAGGGUGACCGGCCACAUUGGGACUGAGAUACGGCGCAGACUCCUACGGGAGGCAGCAGUGGGGAAUAUUGCACAAUGGGCGGAAGCCUGAUGCAGCAACGCCGCGUGCGGGAUGACGGCCUUCGGGUUGUAAACCGCUUUCGCCUGUGACGAAGCGUAAGUGACGGUAAUGGGUAAAGAAGCACCGGCUAACUACGUG